AGUGAACGCUGGCGGUAGGCCUAACACAUGCAAGUCGAACGGCAGCACAGUAAGAGCUUGCUCUUACGGGUGGCGAGUGGCGGACGGGUGAGGAAUACAUCGGAAUCUACUUUUUCGUGGGGGAUAACGUAGGGAAACUUACGCUAAUACCGCAUACGACCUACGGGUGAAAGCAGGGGAUCUUCGGACCUUGCGCGAUUGAAUGAGCCGAUGUCGGAUUAGCUAGUUGGCGGGGUAAAGGCCCACCAAGGCGACGAUCCGUAGCUGGUCUGAGAGGAUGAUCAGCGACACUGGAACUGAGACACGGACCAGACUCCUACGGGAGGCAGCAGUGGGGAAUAUUGGACAAUGGGCGCAAGCCUGAUCCAGCCAUACCGCGUGGGUGAAGAAGGCCUUCGGGUUGUAAAGCCCUUUUGUUGGGAAAGAAAAGCAGCAGGUUAAUACCCCGCUGUUCUGACGGUACCCAAAGAAUAAGCACCGGCUAACUUCGUG
Molecule: ribosomal RNA, 492 nt
Filed under: uncultured bacterium
Lineage: Bacteria
Description: partial 16S ribosomal RNA
Rfam family: Bacterial small subunit ribosomal RNA
Source: RNAcentral